RNAcentral lists this ribosomal RNA (251 nucleotides) under uncultured bacterium. RNAcentral describes it as "partial 16S ribosomal RNA". It matches the Rfam family "Bacterial small subunit ribosomal RNA", at positions 524 to 776 of the family's 1533-position model. The record is from RNAcentral.
UACGGGGGGUGCGAGCGUUGUCCGGAAUCACUGGGCGUAAAGGGCGCGUAGGUGGUUUGAUAAGGGUGUGGUGAAAGUCCGGGGCUCAACCCCGGAUCUGCCGUGCCGACUGUCAAACUCGAGGACUGUAGAGGCAGACGGAAUUCCGGGUGUAGCGGUGGAAUGCGUAGAGAUCCGGAGGAAGACCGGUGGCGAAGGCGGUCUGCUGGGCAGUUUCUGACACUGAGGCGCGACAGCGUGGGAGCAACAGG